CUGCAGUCAAGCCAUGCUUGUUGUUCCAUGAGGGGAAAAAAAUUGGUUCUUUUUCUUGGGUUUCACUUCUUUCCAUCCUCAUGAUAGUGUGAGGAGAGAGGGGUGGGGUGAAAUGAUUUGUUUGUUCAUUUUCUUGGUGGGUUUUUUGCCUUUAGCACAUUUUUAGUGAAUUCUUUGCUUUUCCCUAUGAUUUAAAAAAAUGGGGUUUUAAGAAAUUACUUGUACUUUUGCAGAAAGCAAUGAUUUUUAGCUCAUUUGUCUAUAUGGGGUUUCUUGUUUCUUUGUGGUUAGGAGAAUUUUGAAGAAUAUUGAGGAGUAUUUUUUUUGUUGUUGUGGUGAUGGGUGAGAAGAUGCAAAGCCACCAUAUGUUGAGUGUGAAGGGGAGUGAGCAAUUUAACUCAAAGAGAAAGCAUAGAUUUGUUCCUUCACAGGGUUAUCUUCCAAAGCUUUUUGCUUUAUGGAUUAUCUGGUGUACAUUUUUUAGCAUUGCUUUGUACUUUUAUAUGGAUGCUAAUCAUAAGGAGAAAAGAAAAGAAGGGCUUGUGAGUAUGUGUGAUCAAAGGG
This 564-nucleotide unclassified non-coding RNA is filed under the name Hevea brasiliensis (rubber tree). Lineage: Eukaryota; Viridiplantae; Streptophyta; Magnoliopsida; Malpighiales; Euphorbiaceae. The record is from RNAcentral.